UUUCCCUAGGUGAACCUGCGGAAGGAUCAUUGUCGAAACCUGCCCAGCAGAACGACCCGCGAACUUGUAUAAACAACCGGGGGCGGGGGGCGUUCUCGCCCCGUGCCCCCGAACGGCGGGGAGACACUCGUGCCUUCUUGCCGAACAACGAACCCCGGCGCGGUCUGCGCCAAGGAACUUCAACUAAAGAGUGCCUCCGGUCGCCUCGGAAACGGCGUGCGUGCCGGGGGCGAAUCUUGUGCAAAACCAUAACGACUCUCGGCAACGGAUAUCUCGGCUCUC
Molecule: unclassified non-coding RNA, 282 nt
Filed under: plant metagenome
Description: partial contains small subunit ribosomal RNA, internal transcribed spacer 1, and 5.8S ribosomal RNA
Source: RNAcentral